AGUGAACGCUGGCGGUAGGCCUAACACAUGCAAGUCGAACGGCAGCACAGUAAGAGCUUGCUCUUACGGGUGGCGAGUGGCGGACGGGUGAGGAAUACAUCGGAAUCUACUUUUUCGUGGGGGAUAACGUAGGGAAACUUACGCUAAUACCGCAUACGACCUACGGGUGAAAGCAGGGGAUCUUCGGACCUUGCGCGAUUGAAUGAGCCGAUGUCGGAUUAGCUAGUUGGCGGGGUAAAGGCCCACCAAGGCGACGAUCCGUAGCUGGUCUGAGAGGAUGAUCAGCCACACUGGAACUGAGACACGGUCCAGACUACUAAGGGAGGCAGCAGUGGGGAAUAUUGGACAAUGGGCGCAAGCCUGAUCCAGCCAUACCGCGUGGGUGAAGAAGGCCUUCGGGUUGUAAAGCCCUUUUGUUGGGAAAGAAAAGCAGCAGGUUAAUACCCCGCUGUUCUGACGGUACCCAAAGAAUAAGCACCGGCUAACUUCGUG
Molecule: ribosomal RNA, 492 nt
Filed under: uncultured bacterium
Lineage: Bacteria
Description: partial 16S ribosomal RNA
Rfam family: Bacterial small subunit ribosomal RNA
Source: RNAcentral